GAUGAAGAACGUAGCGAAAUGCGAUAAGUAAUGUGAAUUGCAGAAUUCAGUGAAUCAUCGAAUCUUUGAACGCACAUUGCGCCCGCCAGCACUCUGGCGGGCAUGCCUGUUCGAGCGUCAUUUCAACCAUCAAGCCCCCAGGGGCUUGUGCUGGGGCCCUGCGGCUGCCCGCAGGCCCUGAAAACCAGUGGCGGGCUCGCUAGUCACACCGAGCGCAGUAGCACAUCUCGCUCAGGGCGUGCGGCGGGCUCCUGCCGUGAAACCCCCCACUGUAACCCCAAAGGUUGACUUCGGAUCAGGUAGGAAUACCCGCUGAACUUAAGCAUAUCAAUAAGCGGAGGA
Molecule: unclassified non-coding RNA, 342 nt
Filed under: soil metagenome
Description: partial contains 5.8S ribosomal RNA, internal transcribed spacer 2, and large subunit ribosomal RNA
Rfam family: 5.8S ribosomal RNA (bases 1-120)
Source: RNAcentral